This 516-nucleotide ribosomal RNA is filed under the name uncultured bacterium. RNAcentral describes it as "partial 16S ribosomal RNA". It matches the Rfam family "Bacterial small subunit ribosomal RNA", at positions 28 to 523 of the family's 1533-position model. The record is from RNAcentral.
GAUGAACGCUGGCGGCGUGCCUAAUACAUGCAAGUCGAGCGAAUGGAUUAAGAGCUUGCUCUUAUGAAGUUAGCGGCGGACGGGCGAGUAACACGUGGGUAACCUGCCCAUAAGACUGGGAUAACUCCGGGAAACCGGGGCUAAUACCGGAUAACAUUUUGAACCGCAUGGUUCGAAAUUGAAAGGCGGAUUCGGCUGUCGCUUAUGGAUGGACCCGCGUCGCAUUAGCUAGUUGGUGAGGUAACGGCUCACCAAGGCAACGAUGCCGUAGCCGACCUAAGAGGGUGAUCGGCCACACUGGGACUGAGACACGGCCCAGACUCCUACGGGAGGCAGCAGUAGGGAAUCUUCCGCAAUGGACGAAAGUCUGACGGAGCAACGCCGCGUGAGUGAUGAAGGCUUUCGGGUCGUAAAACUCUGUUGUUAGGGAAGAACAUGUGCUAGUUGAAUAAGCUGGCACCUUGACGGUACCUAACCAGAAAGCCACGGCUAACUACGUGCCAGCAGCCGCCGUAA